Molecule: long non-coding RNA, 502 nt
Organism: Rhodamnia argentea
Lineage: Eukaryota; Viridiplantae; Streptophyta; Magnoliopsida; Myrtales; Myrtaceae
Exons: 2
Source: RefSeq, a predicted model, not a curated record
GCUAGAGCAAUCUGGAAACUCAUCCAUGGCAGUUUUUGUCGAGUCAAGUCAGAAAUUUUCCGAGUGCAAAGGGAAACUUGGCACCACAGAGUAAGAGCAGUUAGAGAAAGCCCCUUCUGCAGAGCACAGAAAGAAGAAGAGAGACGACCUUGGUCCUUCCUUGUCGACGCAGAAACCCAAAACCCCAACACAACUCAAGAAACCCAAAUGACGAUAAAGAGAACCCAGAAUUUUCGCAGUGCAAAAUCAAGACAAACGCAGCUCGAACAAGAAAAAGGGGCUACGGAAGUACCCACUUCUUUUUAAGAUAAUCAGAUCUGGGAAAGUGGAAGAAAGGAAAAGGAAAUUCGGGGCAAAAAUUGUUGGAAGAUGUCGAGGCUCAGAUUCACCUUAGAUCAGACAACUGAAAGGAACCCCGCCAUGGCUGCGACCGGUUCUGGCCGCCCCGCCAAGAUACGGUCGGCUCUCGGUGCCUGCCCGGUUUCAUUUUCUCUCUCCUCCG